GGACGAACGCUGGCGGCGUGCUUAACACAUGCAAGUCGAACGGAAAGGCCCUGCUUUUGUGGGGUGCUCGAGUGGCGAACGGGUGAGUAACACGUGAGUAACCUGCCCUUGACUUUGGGAUAACUUCAGGAAACUGGGGCUAAUACCGGAUAGGAGCUCCUGCUGCAUGGUGGGGGUUGGAAAGUUUCGGCGGUUGGGGAUGGACUCGCGGCUUAUCAGCUUGUUGGUGGGGUAGUGGCUUACCAAGGCUUUGACGGGUAGCCGGCCUGAGAGGGUGACCGGCCACAUUGGGACUGAGAUACGGCCCAGACUCCUACGGGAGGCAGCAGUGGGGAAUACUGCACAAUGGGCGGAAGCCUGAUGCAGCAACGCCGCGUGCGGGAUGACGGCCUUCGGGUUGUAAACCGCUUUCGCCUGUGACGAAGCGUGAGUGACGGUAAUGGGUAAAGAAGCACCGGCUAACUACGUG
Molecule: ribosomal RNA, 469 nt
Filed under: uncultured bacterium
Lineage: Bacteria
Description: partial 16S ribosomal RNA
Rfam family: Bacterial small subunit ribosomal RNA
Source: RNAcentral